Molecule: transfer RNA, 73 nt
Filed under: Methanomassiliicoccales archaeon
Lineage: Archaea; Methanobacteriati; Thermoplasmatota; Thermoplasmata; Methanomassiliicoccales
Also listed under: 1 other name
Description: tRNA-Gln
Rfam family: tRNA
About the family: Transfer RNA (tRNA) molecules are approximately 80 nucleotides in length. Their secondary structure includes four short double-helical elements and three loops (D, anti-codon, and T loops).
Source: RNAcentral
AGCCCCGUGGUGUAGUGGCCAAUCAUGCCGGCCUUUGGAGCCGGCGACGGCAGUUCGAAUCUGCCCGGGGCUA